GACGAACGCUGGCGGCGUGCCUAAUACAUGCAAGUUGAGCGAUGAAGAUUGGUGCUUGCACCAAUUUGAAGAGCAGCGAACGGGUGAGUAACGCGUGGGGAAUCUGCCUUUGAGCGGGGGACAACAUUUGGAAACGAAUGCUAAUACCGCAUAAUAACUUUAGACAUAAGUUUUAAGUUUGAAAGAUGCAAUUGCAUCACUCAAAGAUGAUCCCGCGUUGUAUUAGCUAGUUGGUGAGGUAAAGGCUCACCAAGGCGAUGAUACAUAGCCGACCUGAGAGGGUGAUCGGCCACAUUGGGACUGAGACACGGCCCAAACUCCUACGGGAGGCAGCAGUAGGGAAUCUUCGGCAAUGGACGAAAGUCUGACCGAGCAACGCCGCGUGAGUGAAGAAGGUUUUCGGAUCGUAAAACUCUGUUGGUAGAGAAGAACGUUGGUGAGAGUGGAAAGCUCAUCAAGUGACGGUAACUACCCAGAAAGGGACGGCUAACUACGUG
This 497-nucleotide ribosomal RNA is filed under the name uncultured bacterium. RNAcentral's name for it is "partial 16S ribosomal RNA". It matches the Rfam family "Bacterial small subunit ribosomal RNA", at positions 28 to 507 of the family's 1533-position model. The record is from RNAcentral.